UACUUUCAGCAGUGAGAAAGGCGGAGUCGUUAAUAGCGGCUCGUUUGACGUUAGCUGCAGAAGAAAGCACCGGCUAACUCCGUGCCAGCAGCCGCGGUAAUACGGAGGGUGCGAGCGUUAAUCGGAAUUACUGGGCGUAAAGCGCAUGCAGGUGGUUUGUUAAGUCAGAUGUGAAAGACCCGGGGCGUCAACCUCGGAAUUGCAUUUGAAACUAGGCAGACUAGAGUACUGUAGAGGGGGGUAGGAAUUUCAGGUGUAGCGGUGAAAUAGCGUAGAGAUCUGAAGGAAUACCGGUGGCGAAGGCGGCCCCCUCGGACAGAUACUGACACUCAGAUGCGAAAGCGUGGGGAGCAAACAGGAUUAGAUACCCUGGUAG
RNAcentral lists this ribosomal RNA (376 nucleotides) under uncultured bacterium. RNAcentral describes it as "bacterial SSU rRNA". It matches the Rfam family "Bacterial small subunit ribosomal RNA", at positions 431 to 793 of the family's 1533-position model. The record is from RNAcentral.